Long non-coding RNA from Oncorhynchus tshawytscha (Chinook salmon), 2011 nucleotides. RefSeq lists it as uncharacterized. NCBI's taxonomy places the organism in Eukaryota, Metazoa, Chordata, Actinopteri, Salmoniformes, Salmonidae. The transcript has 2 exons. The record is from RefSeq and is a predicted model, not a curated record.
CUUGUGUCCUGCACAAAGUAGAUGUCCUAACCGACUUGCCAAAACUAUAGUUGUUGAAAAAACGAGUUUUAAUGACUCCAACCUAAGUGUAUGUAAACUUCCAACUUCAACUGUAUAUUUUGGGAAAAUAUAGAAUCAUCAAAGUGAUAUGUGUAAACUAGUUAUAUUUAUGUAUUUUAGUAUAAUAACAGAAAUCUGAGAUAAAAUAUCUACAGACUCACGUAUUUAGUACAUAGUUAAGAACACAUCUGAUAUUAAUGCAUUAUGAAUGAUAUCAGAUGCCUCAUUAGGGUUAGAUGGCAUUAAUAUUUCAUUAUUACUCCUGGCUUCAUGGACCCUUAUGUUCUCUUCUUCCCAGGCAGAAGGACCAUCUCAUUGGCAAUAUGGUGUAGAUAUAUUUUAGAAGAAUUUGUUUUAUUUCAUUAGAGCUCUGCUCUAAUCAUGUCCUCAAAAGUUUGGUGAAAAUGAAAAGUGUGGAAAACUAUUCUGAAAUGAAAUCUCCACUGGACUCUUUUCAAAUUAUCAGCCAUGAAUCAAUUAUAAAAAUCCAUGCCUUUGUAGACACAAAAAUAAAGGGCAUUUAAAUAGAGCUUAAUGUGAUACUAUAACAACUAUAAUACCUAGAGCAUGCCAGCUAGGUGUCUGGAAGAGAAAUCAUUAAAUGGAAAUAUUCAUUUGAAUGAUUUAAUUUAAAUCUCAGUCUUAAUUCCUCUUCCACCUUUGGAAUGAUCUAAAAGGUUGUGUUUUUCAAAUCUUGUUUCAGACAUUGAAAAUUAUCCUCAUUCCCUCUUAAACAUGUCAUUUCGGAGGCCGUUUGGGAGUUAAAAGUUCUAGGGGACAUGUUAAUGACAUGGUAUAUGGCAUCAGUUGGAAAACUCAUCAUUUGAAAAAUGAGUCUGGCAAGGAUGGCCAAUCAGAGGCCAGUCAAGGCUGUUGUUGGGGGAAACACAGAGGCCAGUCACUGCAGGCCUUGCAGAAGGUAAAUACAUCCACCCAGCCUAUUGGCAGCCUGCGGUUAAACCAGGGCCAAUGCUGGGUGAUUCAAAUGACAUGAUACUGAUUGGAACCUUUUAAAGUGCAGUAGUUAAAUGAAAAGCCUGUUGGAGUGGGAUACACAUCAUCCAAUCCAAUCCCACUCAUUGCAACAACAUCACAUACAAGAGCUAUGAGGUUUUCCUCCCAACUCUAAACUGUUUUUGUCAUACGCCAAUGUUAAUCUCCAUGCGUAGUACGUAGUAUAAUAAAUACAACCACUCAGUCCCAAAGAGUUCCCUUCUGAAUGUUUAUUGGCCUAUUUCAAACUCCAUUGUAAAAUAUACUUGAUAAAGAAUCAGUACGUUCCGAAACUAAUUUUUCACUGCAAUGACUAGCCGUUACAGCACAUCCUUCAGGAAAUUAUCAAACAUCAACUCCGUGUUUAGGGAGUCAUUGAGGUGCGUACUGACUUCCCUGAACACCCAGUAGGUGUGUUCACAGAGCAUCUCAGAGUUGAGGUGGUUAUCUAGGAUCAGGCCCCCCUCCUCCCUCUUCUUGUUCAUUAUGAUGUUAACACUGAUCCUGGAUGUGGUCUCUCUUUCUGAAUACUGGCCCAGUAGCAGUGUCAGGAAAAUCCUGUCUGUCAUUGGUUACCCACCAGGAUACAGGUCAACAUAUCUGACCCCAACCCACCAGGAUACAGGCCAACAUAUCUGACCCCAACCCUAACCCACCAGGAUACAGGUCUACAUAUCUGACCCCAACCCACCAGGAUACAGGUCAACAUAUCUGACCCAAACCCUAACCCACCAGGAUACAGGUCAACAUAUCUGACCCCAACCCUAACCCACCAGGAUACAGGUCAACAUAUCUGACCCCAACCCUAACCCACAGGAUACAGGUCAACAUAUCUGACCCCAACCCUAACCCACCAGGACACAGGUCAACCUAUCUGACCCCAACCCACCAGGAUACAGGUCAACAUAUCUGACCCCAGACAGACAGACAGACAGACAGACAGACAGACAGACAGACA